UGGGGAAUAUUGCACAAUGGGCGCAAGCCUGAUGCAGCCAUGCCGCGUGUAUGAAGAAGGCCUUCGGGUUGUAAAGUACUUUCAGCGGGGAGGAAGGUGUUGAGGUUAAUAACCUCAGCAAUUGACGUUACCCGCAGAAGAAGCACCGGCUAACUCCGUGCCAGCAGCCGCGGGAAUACGGAGGGUGCAAGCGUUAAUCGGAAUUACUGGGCGUAAAGCGCACGCAGGCGGUCUGUCAAGUCGGAUGUGAAAUCCCCGGGCUCAACCUGGGAACUGCAUUCGAAACUGGCAGGCUAGAGUCUUGUAGAGGGGGGUAGAAUUCCAGGUGUAGCGGUGAAACGCGUAGAGAUCUGGAGGAAUACCGGUGGCGAAGGCGGCCCCCUGGACAAAGACUGACGCUCAGGUGCGAAAGCGUGGGGAGCAAACA
Molecule: ribosomal RNA, 427 nt
Filed under: uncultured bacterium
Lineage: Bacteria
Description: partial 16S ribosomal RNA
Rfam family: Bacterial small subunit ribosomal RNA
Source: RNAcentral